Molecule: ribosomal RNA, 488 nt
Filed under: uncultured bacterium
Lineage: Bacteria
Description: partial 16S ribosomal RNA
Rfam family: Bacterial small subunit ribosomal RNA
Source: RNAcentral
GAUGAACGCUCGCGGCAGGCCUAAUACAUGCAAGUCGGACGGGAUCCAUCGGUAGCUUGCUAUCCAUGGUGAGAGUAGCGCACGGGUGCGUAACGCGUGAGCAACCUGCCUCCAUCAGGGGGAUAGCCUCUCGAAAGAGAGAUUAACACCGCAUAACAUAUCAGACCGGCAUCGGUCGGAUAUCAAAUAUUUAUAGGAUGGAGAUGGGCUCGCGUGACAUUAGCUUGUUGGUGGGGUAACGGCCCACCAAGGCGACGAUGUCUAGGGGCUCUGAGAGGAGAAUCCCCCACACUGGUACUGAGACACGGACCAGACUCCUACGGGAGGCAGCAGUAAGGAAUAUUGGUCAAUGGGCGGAAGCCUGAACCAGCCAUGCCGCGUGCAGGAUGACUGCCCUAUGGGUUGUAAACUGCUUUUGUCCGGGAAUAAACCUCCUUACGUGUAGGGAGCUGAAUGUACCGGAAGAAUAAGGAUCGGCUAACUCCGUG